RNAcentral lists this ribosomal RNA (494 nucleotides) under uncultured bacterium. Its description in RNAcentral is "partial 16S ribosomal RNA". It matches the Rfam family "Bacterial small subunit ribosomal RNA", at positions 28 to 507 of the family's 1533-position model. The record is from RNAcentral.
GACGAACGCUGGCGGCGUGCUUAACACAUGCAAGUCGAACGGAAAGGCCUGCUUUCCCUUGUGGAUUGCGGGUACUCGAGUGGCGAACGGGUGAGUAACACGUGAGUGAUCUGCCCCCAACUUGGGUAUAAGCCUGGGAAACUGGGUCUAAUUCCCGAUAGGACUGCAGGGUGGUGCCUGUGGUGGAAAACGAUUUUCUAGUGGUUGGGGAUGAGCUCGCGGCCUAUCAGCUUGUUGGUGGGGUAAUGGCCUACCAAGGCGGCGACGGGUAGCCGGCCUGAGAGGGUGGACGGGGACAUUGGGACUGAGAUACGGCCCAGACGGCGACGGGAGGCAGCAGUGGGGAAUAUUGGACAAUAGGCGGAAGCCUGAUGCAGCGACGGCGCGUGGGGGAUGACGGCCUUCGGGUGGUAAACUCCUUUGGACCGAGAGGAAGCCACCUGGUUGGAAGGGUGGUGACGGUAGUGGUAGAAGAAGCACCGGCUAACUACGUG